This 85-nucleotide transfer RNA is filed under the name Felis catus (domestic cat). It matches the Rfam family "tRNA". From Rfam's summary of the family: Transfer RNA (tRNA) molecules are approximately 80 nucleotides in length. The record is from Rfam by way of RNAcentral. Lineage: Eukaryota; Metazoa; Chordata; Mammalia; Carnivora; Felidae.
GCCUGAGUGGCUCAGUCGGUUGAGCAUCUGACUUCAGCUCAGGUCAUGAUCUCAUGGUUUGUGGGUUCACGCCCCAUGUCAGGCU